This 1367-nucleotide long non-coding RNA is filed under the name Monodelphis domestica (gray short-tailed opossum). Its description in RNAcentral is "lncRNA (ENSMODG00000047470.1)". The record is from RNAcentral. Lineage: Eukaryota; Metazoa; Chordata; Mammalia; Didelphimorphia; Didelphidae.
AUGGAGUUUCUACUGAAAAGGAGAAGUAUCAAAUAUCUAGUCUACAACACUCCUGAGUGCAGCUGGAACCAGAUGAAAAUGCAAUUGAAAAAUAUUAACAAAAUAAAUAAAAAACACUAUACAGCACUGGUUAACAAGAACUUCAGUUUUGGCGGGGGUUUUGGAUACCACUUUUAUCAUUUAGUAAAUUCUGAUUUUCAAGGAAUUAAAUACUACAAUUUUUUUGGUGCCUCUUUCACUAAGGUAUUAAUUCUCUUCAUAAUUUUCUUGCAUGGUUCUAAUUUCUUUUCCCCAUAUUCUUCUUAUUUGUUUUAUUUUUUAUGUUUGCAUUUUUUAAAUCUCUUCCUUUUGUUGUUUUAAGAAUUCUUGUUGGGCUUGUGAGUAAUCUACAUUUUUCUUUGAGGCUUUGCUUCUAAAUGUUUUCAAGUUCUUCUGAAUUUGUGUUUUGGCUUUCCCUAUCACCCCAGUAGCUAUUUGUGGUCAAGUUCUAUUGUUUAUUCAUCUUUCUGGUCUGCUUCUCGUCUUUAGACUUUCUGUUAUGGAACGUGUGCUGGAGAUUGUUAAGAUAGCAAUGAAUUUUUAUAUGUUCUCAAAGACUGAAAUAAUGAUAGUUUUCUUCAUUACUCUUGGAAACUGAAAGUCAGCAGGAAAGUUUACUUUAUUACACAAGUUGACAGGUUUCCUGUCAUUAAGUUUUGAAAUAAUUUUUAACUUCAUAAAAUCAAAAUGAUUUUAGAAAUGAAAAGGGAAAUCACUAGAACAACAUCAUAAGAACAACUGGUUUUAUGAUUUGGCUUUCAUUGUAGAUAGGUCUAGAUGUAUACAUGUAUAUUAAAUGAGCUAAAAAUUGAAAUGUUGGGGUCAAAAUUGGGGUGUGAUGUUUAUGUAGAAAUGCACUAAAGCCUCAUAAGAAAAAAUUUAUCUUUAGAAAUGGCAACUAAAAUAUUAUGAUUUGACUCAUUUUCCUACACAUAAAAACAAUUGAGUCAUUUGGUUCUCAUGGUUUCAGUAAGUAUGCAUAAUCUUAAAGUUUGGUAGUAUAUACCUAUAUGAAUGAUGAUACUUCAUUUCUGAAGAUUAUUAAAACUUCAUAUAGGGUAAUAUUAAAGCAUUUAUCAUUGAUGCUAAAAAAAUUUCUUAUCACACUAUCUGAUGCCUGAUAUUGAUAAAAAUAAUUUCAGGUAAAAGAUGCCAAGUUUCAAGCAAGCAAUACUAAAUUAAUUAUAAAACUUAUUAAAUGGAUAUCUUGAGAUGACUUUAAAUGUAUUCAAUACUAAAACAUAAAAUUAUAGGCUUUUUAUUUAUAGCUAGUUCUUAUCAGAUUUGUAUGAAUAUAUGUAAUAAAUAUCUGUACAUACAUAUAUACA